AGAGUUUGAUCCUGGCUCAGAACGAACGCUGGCGGCGUGCCUAACACAUGCAAGUCGAACGGCAGCACGGGGCAACCCUCGGUGGCGAGUGGCGAACGGGUGAGUAAUGCAUCGGAACGUAUCCUUGAGUGGGGGAUAACGCAGCGAAAGUUGUGCUAAUACCGCAUAAGCUCUGAGGAGGGAAGCGGGGGACCGAAAGGCCUCGCGCUGAAGGAGCGGCCGAUGUCCGAUUAGCUAGUUGGUGAGGUAAAGGCUUACCAAGGCGACGAUCGGUAGCUGGUCUGAGAGGAUGAUCAGCCACACUGGGACUGAGACACGGCCCAGACUCCUACGGGAGGCGAC
RNAcentral lists this ribosomal RNA (342 nucleotides) under uncultured prokaryote. RNAcentral describes it as "bacterial SSU rRNA". It matches the Rfam family "Bacterial small subunit ribosomal RNA", at positions 8 to 352 of the family's 1533-position model. The record is from RNAcentral.